CCCUUAGAUGUUCUGGGCUGCACGCGCGCUACACUGAUGCGUUCAACAAGUGUUAACCUUGCCCGAUAGGGUUGGGUAAUCUUUUGAAAGCGCAUCGUGAUGGGGAUCGACGACUGCAAUUGUUCGUCUUCAACGAGGAAUUCCUAGUAAGCGCAAGUCAUCAGCUUGCACUGAUUACGUCCCUGCCCUUUGUACACACCGCCCGUCGCUCCUACAGAUUGAGUGAUCCGGUGAAUAGUUCGGAUCGUGCAGGUCGCCCUCGGGUGCUUGUAUGAGAAGUUCAGUAAACCUUAUCACUUAGAGGAAGGAGAAGUCGUAACA
Molecule: ribosomal RNA, 321 nt
Filed under: uncultured eukaryote
Lineage: Eukaryota
Description: partial 18S ribosomal RNA
Rfam family: Eukaryotic small subunit ribosomal RNA
Source: RNAcentral